GGCAACGUGGCCGAGUGGUCUAAGGCGCUGGAAUUAGGUUACCCUCUUGGGAAGCAUUCUAUCCAGUCCGAAAGGGCGUGAGUUCGAACCUCACCGUUGUCA
Molecule: non-coding RNA, 102 nt
Organism: Flammula alnicola
Lineage: Eukaryota; Fungi; Basidiomycota; Agaricomycetes; Agaricales; Strophariaceae
Source: the annotation of a GenBank genome assembly